UACAGAGAGUGCAAACGUUGUUCGGAAUUACUGGGCUUGAAGCGCACGUAGGCGGCGUUGUAAGUGUCGGGUGAAAUCCCACGGCUCACCCGUGGAACUGCCCGGCAUACUGCGAUGCUAGAGUGUGGUAGGGGAGAGCGGAACUCCUGGUGGAGCGGUGAAAUGCGUAGAUAUCAGGAGGAACACCGGUGGCGAAGGCGGAUCUCUGGGCCUGUCCUGACGCUCAGGCGCGAAAGCUAGGGGAGCAAACAGG
RNAcentral lists this ribosomal RNA (253 nucleotides) under uncultured bacterium. Its description in RNAcentral is "partial 16S ribosomal RNA". It matches the Rfam family "Bacterial small subunit ribosomal RNA", at positions 524 to 776 of the family's 1533-position model. The record is from RNAcentral.